UACGAAGGGGGGCUAGCGUUGCUCGGAAUCACUGGGCGUAAAGGGCGCGUAGGCGGCCAUUCAAGUCAGAGGUGAAAGCCCAAGGCUCAACCUUGGAACUGCCUUUGAUACUGUUUGGCUUGAGACCGGUAGAGGUAAGUGGAACUGCGAGUGUAGAGGUGAAAUUCGUAGAUAUUCGCAAGAACACCAGUGGCGAAGGCGGCUUACUGGACCGGUUCUGACGCUGAGGCGCGAAAGCGUGGGGGAGCAAACAGG
This 255-nucleotide ribosomal RNA is filed under the name uncultured bacterium. RNAcentral describes it as "partial 16S ribosomal RNA". It matches the Rfam family "Bacterial small subunit ribosomal RNA", at positions 524 to 776 of the family's 1533-position model. The record is from RNAcentral.